This 2333-nucleotide long non-coding RNA is filed under the name Homo sapiens (human). RNAcentral describes it as "non-protein coding LINC01106:5". Lineage: Eukaryota; Metazoa; Chordata; Mammalia; Primates; Hominidae. The record is from RNAcentral.
ACUCUUCUGCGGGAAGGGCUUGGCGUAGACCGCGCACUGGAAGGCGUGCGCGCAGGUGUGCGUGACCAUGUGCUUGAAACGGCAGUAGCGCAGCGAGAAGGAUCGCCAUCACACGGCGCACUGGUGCGGCUUCUCCCCCGAGUGGAUGAACAUGUGCUUGGUGUCGUUUUUCCUUGAGCUGAACGUCUUGCAACAGUGGCCGCACGCAUAGCUGCCCCAGAUCCCGGAAGAAAAUCUCUCCCACACCACUGUAGUCAGAGAGGCCAGUGGGUGCAUGGAACUCCUCGCACGCGCUGUCAGCAGCAGCAGUGAGGAAGCCGGCAGCACAGUCUGGGAAGGAAGGAGGUGCUUGGCUCUCUCCCGGGCCGCCACCUUCGCCGUCCUCGCCAUCGGUCUCAUCGUCAGUUUCCUCGUCAUCGUUGUCACCUCGGUCGUCAGGGGCCGCGGACAGUGAGGGGUAGGCACCAAGCCCCUCGGCUUUGGCAGGUGUCGGGGGCGCAGGCAGCUGCAAACUCGCGGGCCGGCGCUGCUUACCGCUGUGCGCGGCACCGGGGUGCCCCGGGGGUGCGCAGCCAGCAGGUGGCGCAGGCGGUGACGCAGCUGCUCAGGUGCGAGUGGCGGGGGCACAGGGGUGGGCAGGGGCGCGGGUGCAGAGGUGCUCGCGGGUGCAGAGGAGCGCGUGCGAUAAUCUGCGUGCAUUCGUCGAUAACUGUCUAUGCGAAGCACCGACGCAGCCAUGAGUACCUGCGGGGCUUCACUCUGUGCCACAACGAGCGAACCGCUGUACAGGAGCUCGACUAGCUGUCGCACCGUCUGCACAGGCACCACCGAAGGCACACGGAUCUCAGAGGGGCCGAGCAGCAGCUUGUCUUGGAAGGAGGGCGAGCCGAUUGCCAGCCCGCAGCGGUGCGCACGCAGCGAAGCUUCAUGAAUGCACACAGUCACGUCGCAGAAGUGCCCACCCAGCUUCUGCCCAUUGAGGGUCUCAAGCAGAGAGCGUGAGAAGUUCUGCAGAUGUAUGUGGCGCACAGCCUCUACAGCCGCCGACUCCGACUCCUCUUCAGGCACCAGGCCUGGCCGUGGCCGCCUUCUCACCGACUCCAAGGCAGCACUUCCGGGCGCUUCUCUUUAUUUUUAUACAGUUUUAUUGAGAUAUAAUUUACAUGCUAUCCAGCCCAUCUAUUUCAAGUGUACCAUGCAAGGGGUUUGUAUAUAUUCACAGAGUUGUGUAUCCAUCACCAUCGUUUUAGAACAUUCAUCACUCCAGAAGAAACUACUACCCAUCAGCAGCCACUGCCCAUUUCCCUGAUCUGCCCCGCCCUAGGAAAUCCGUAAUCACUUUCAGUCUAUGGAUUUGCCUAUUCUAGACCAUUCAUAUAAAUGAAGUCACACAACACUGGGUCUUAUGUGACUGGCUUCUAUCAAAGUUUGCAAGGUUCAUUUAUGUUCAUGGGCUGACCCCACAUUGGACACCGCUGCAUCCAUGUCCAUCACACAACACAGCUGCCGUUUCUUCUGCCUGCUUAUGGGAAAGUCCCCUCUUCUCCUCCGUUUUCUUCUCUUCCUGCCCUAUCACACCGUGCACUUCUCCCUUUCCUUAAAGAACCACCAUCAACUUUAGGAGGAGGGAAAGGGGUGGCUCUGGCAGGAAAAGCCAGAAUCCCCUCUAGCCAGCAGAGAGAGAGAGGAAUGGCUGCAUGUUUUCUCCCCCAGUCCAAGGCACUGGGUCUUGGCUGGGUUGAAGGUUCCAAGCUGCUCUCCUGCUGUGUCGGUGAGUUCUGGUCAACCUGCAACCUCCUGAUAUGGCCAUUGCAGUUCAUCGAGUCUUCAGGGACUCCCCAUGGCCUGGAGUACUUUGCCUUGCUUACACGGGAGAGGAGAAUGGAUUUAUAGAGAACAUCAUCUAAAUCCAACUUGACCAUUGUGUGGCCACACUUGCUAGAUUGCUAUAGUCUAAAUCUAGCAUUGUAGAAAGACGGGGGAGCUUGGAGCUGCACAAACCCAGGUCUGGAACUGGCUCCUUACCUUGGAAGGUGAAUGAUCCUGCCAGGACUCUUAGCCUCCCUGGGUCUCAAUUUCUUUAUCUGUUUCAUGGGAAUGAGGAUCUCUGCUGGGUGGUUGGGUGAUGUGGGGGCUGUGUGAAAACAGCUUGUCAAUACAAGCCAAAAUAGAAAUAUUUCUCCACAGAGUAUGAAGGUCAAAUGAGAGAAUACAUUUAAAUUAAAUGGAAAAUUAAAAUGGUAAAAAAUGCAAAGCUGUAUUGAAAGUUCCGAGCUUCUCUAUAAGGAGCUUUUUGACUAUGUAAGAAUCCUGUACUCGUUCCCCCUAAAUAU